RNAcentral lists this unclassified non-coding RNA (214 nucleotides) under Hevea brasiliensis (rubber tree). Lineage: Eukaryota; Viridiplantae; Streptophyta; Magnoliopsida; Malpighiales; Euphorbiaceae. The record is from RNAcentral.
UUUUUUUUUUUUUUUUUUGGUAUUCAAAUCAUUGAUGAACAAUUAUUGCUUUGAUAUAAAUAUCUGUUUUCCUCUCCCUGCACAUAUAUAAUAUUAUUCCCUUCCUCUCUUAAUUCUUCGUGCUGUGUGCCGCAUGUUGGUCUCUUUGUCUGUUUCUGUUGUUGGUUUCUUUGAUGAUCGCUGCUUCUUGUUAUUGCCUAUACCAGCAACAGAU